Molecule: ribosomal RNA, 413 nt
Filed under: uncultured bacterium
Lineage: Bacteria
Description: bacterial SSU rRNA
Rfam family: Bacterial small subunit ribosomal RNA
Source: RNAcentral
GGGCCCGCACAAGCGGUGGAGCAUGUGGCUUAAUUCGAUGCAACGCGAAGAACCUUACCUGGACUUGACAUGCCUGUCGUACCCUAUCGAAAGACUGGGGUCAGUUCGGCUGGACAGUGCACAGGUGCUGCAUGGCUGUCGUCAGCUCGUGCCGUGAGGUGUUGGGUUAAGUCCCGCAACGAGCGCAACCCUUGUCCUUAGUUGCCAUCAGGGAGUGAUCUGCUGGGCACUCUAAGGAGACUGCCGGUGACAAGCCGGAGGAAGGUGGGGAUGACGUCAAGUCAGUAUGGCCCUUAUGUCCAGGGCUGCACACGUGCUACAAUGGCGCAUACAGAGGGCGGCCAACUUGCGAAAGUGAGCGAAUCCCAAAAGUGCGUCGUAGUCCGGAUUGGAGUCUGCAACUCGACUCCAUG